This 809-nucleotide non-coding RNA is filed under the name Cantao ocellatus. The record is from RNAcentral. Lineage: Eukaryota; Metazoa; Arthropoda; Insecta; Hemiptera; Scutelleridae.
AAAUUAAGUUAGAUAUUUUAUUAUAGUAUGAAAUAAUGGCUUAAAAUUGAUCCUUACAUACAGUUUUUUGAGGUUUUAGUUGAAAUCUUAAUGAUUCCAAAAUCUUAUAUUGUAGUAUUUCAUAUUUUUAAUUUCUGUUUUCAGAGAUAAAGUCUUUUUGUCAUGUUUGACUAGCGAAAAUUGUGCCAGCAGCUGCGGUUAUACAAUUAGUCAAGGGUCAUUAUUAUGGGGAUUUAUUUAUUUGUUAAAAUUUGUUGGUUAAAUUUCAUAUAGUUUUGGAGUGAAAUCUAAAUUUGUGAUUGGUAACUUGGUUUUAUUAAAUGAUUAUAUAAGAAAUUUAUUUGUAAAGACUAGGAUUAGAUACCCUAUUAUUAUAAGUUUAAAUUAAAAAUUCUCUAGUAUUAAUAGUUAAGAUCUUUAAAUUAAAAUAAUUUGACGGUAACUUAAUCUGUUCAGAGGAACCUGUUCUGUAAUUGAUAAUCCACGAUAAAUUUUACUUUAAUUAUAUUAUUUGUAUAUCUCUGUUUAUUGAGUGUUUUAUUAGAAAUAUUCUCUUGAAUUUUAUUUAAAACAUAUAUCAGGUCAAGGUGCAGUUAUAUUAAAGUUUGAAAUGGGUUACAUUUAAUUUUAAUAUUGGAUUAAUUAUUUGUUGUAUAAACUUUUAUGAAAUUGGAUUUGAUUGUAAUAAUUAUUAUAUUUUAAUUAUGAUAUUUGUUCUAAGUUGAGUACAUAUCGCCCGUCACUCUCAUUAUUAAGAUGAGAUAAGUCGUAACAAAGUAGGCCUAUCGGAAGGUGGGCCUGGAUUUAUA